AUUGAACGCUGGCGGCAUGCCUUACACAUGCAAGUCGAACGGUAACGGGCCUUCGGGUGCCGACGAGUGGCGAACGGGUGAGUAAUGUAUCGGAACGUACCUUUCAGUGGGGGAUAACGUAGCGAAAGUUACGCUAAUACCGCAUAUUCUGUGAGCAGGAAAGCAGGGGAUCGCAAGACCUUGCGCUGAUUGAGCGGCCGAUAUCAGAUUAGCUAGUUGGUGAGGUAAAGGCUCACCAAGGCGACGAUCUGUAGCGGGUCUGAGAGGAUGAUCCGCCACACUGGAACUGAGACACGGUCCAGACUCCUACGGGAGGCAGCAGUGGGGAAUUUGGACAAUGGGGGCAACCCUGAUCCAGCCAUGCCGCGUGAGUGAAGAAGGCCUUCGGGUUGUAAGCUCUUUCGGCCGGGAAGAAUCGUAUGGGCUAAUACCCUGUGCGGAUGGACGGUACCGGCAUAAGUAGCACCGCUAACUACGUGCCAGCAGCCGAC
RNAcentral lists this ribosomal RNA (491 nucleotides) under uncultured bacterium. RNAcentral describes it as "bacterial SSU rRNA". It matches the Rfam family "Bacterial small subunit ribosomal RNA", at positions 30 to 518 of the family's 1533-position model. The record is from RNAcentral.